Molecule: ribosomal RNA, 375 nt
Filed under: uncultured bacterium
Lineage: Bacteria
Description: bacterial SSU rRNA
Rfam family: Bacterial small subunit ribosomal RNA
Source: RNAcentral
AUUGAACGCUGGCGGCAUGCCUUACACAUGCAAGUCGAACGGCAGCACGGGAGCAAUCCUGGUGGCGAGUGGCGAACGGGUGAGUAAUAUAUCGGAACGUGCCCAGUCGUGGGGAUAACGUAGCGAAAGCUACGCUAAUACCGCAUACGAUCUAUGGAUGAAAGCGGGGGAUCGCAAGACCUCGCGCGAUUGGAGCGGCCGAUAUCAGAUUAGGUAGUUGGUGGGGUAAAGGCUCACCAAGCCAACGAUCUGUAGCUGGUCUGAGAGGACGACCAGCCACACUGGAACUGAGACACGGUCCAGACUCCUACGGGAGCAGCAGUGGGAAUUUGGACAAUGGACGCAAGUCUGAUCCAGCCAUUCCGCGUGCAGGAU